Long non-coding RNA from Panicum hallii, 484 nucleotides. RefSeq lists it as uncharacterized. Lineage: Eukaryota; Viridiplantae; Streptophyta; Magnoliopsida; Poales; Poaceae. The transcript is spliced from 2 exons. The record is from RefSeq and is a predicted model, not a curated record.
UCUCUCUCUCUCUCUCUCUCUCUCUCGGUUGGUGCUGGUCUUCGUUCUGUUGCUUCUUCCUUCGCUGCUCUUUCUUCUCCGCCACCGUCCCCUACUCGUCGUCCAGGACUCCAGGCUUUAAUGAUGCAGCGUCCUUCAAGGUACCCAUCGACCGACGCGUGGGCCCUGCCAGGGAAGACUUGGAGGAAGACUGGCUCGGUCGUGCGGUGGUGCCCAGUCCACCAGUCCAGGAGCAGAGCACUGAGCACCAAUCAUGGCCCACCCUUUCAUAGCGAUGUUAUGAUCAGCUGAUGGAUGCUGAUGGUGCUUGCCUCCUCCCUCUUUCCUUGCACAUUCCAAUAUCUUUGGCAUGUUUUCCCUUUUUUCCCCUGCUUCCUUGAGUUGUUCAUUCCUUUCUACUAAUUCUCCUGAUUUGUGUUGGGUAAAGUUGAAAGCCUUUUUGGAAGCAAGAUAAUAAAAAAGGAAAGGAUCAAGUGAAAGUGAA